CAUCAUCAGGACCAUUUACUUUUACUGAAAGACCACCAACAACAACUUCAAGAAAAUCAACGAAAAUCUCUAAACAAACAACACUAACGGCAGCAACAACAAAUGCUGGACCAAAAACUACAUCUACAGGAUCAACAACUGCAGGACCAGUAUCAAAAGCAUCUGAACCAACAACAGCAGCUAAAGGACCAACAACUACGACAACCGAACACACAGCUGCAGGACCAACAUCAACGACAUCUGCAGGACUAAAAACAACAUCUGACGAACAAAAAACAGCAACUAUAGGACCCAAAAUGACAACUGCAGGAUCAACAAUUGCAGUAACAACAACUACUAAAGCAGAACUCACAUCAACAACAGAAGAGUCAACAAUUACCACAACAGGACCCACAAAAUCAUUUGCAGGCCAAACAUCAACAACAAAUGCACUACCAAAAUCAACAACAAAUGCAGGAACAUCAUCAACUGCAGGAAAAUCUACUAUCACUGCAAGACCCUCAACAAUAACUUCAGGAAAAACAUCAACGGGAGGACAGACCAGGGCAACUGCAGGAACAUCUGCAGGAUCAACAAUUGCAGCAACAGCAGCACUGACUGCGGGAUCAACAACUGCAACUACUGAACCAAAAUCAGCAGCUAAUGGACCAACAACGAAACCAAAAACGAAUACAGUACCAACAACAUCAACUGCAGUACUAAUAACUACUAAAGCAGCACCCACAACAACUGCAGGACCAAUAAUGACAACUGCUGAACUGACGUCAAGAACUGUAGGUCCCACAACUUCAACUGUGAGAACAUCAACAAUUGCAGGACUUAUUAUCAUGACUGCAAGACCAACAAUAACAACUGCAGGAUCAACAACAACGACUUUAGGACCAAUAACAACAAAUGAAGGACCCACUACUUCUGAAGAAGGGACUUUGGAGAUUACAUUUAGUUUAAUGCAAACAUUUAUUGAACAAUACUCAGAUCCUACCUCCACAGAUUUUCAGGUCCUCUCUAAAAAUGUUACAACAGAGGUAGACAACGGCUUCAAAGAUCAUUUUCAUGAUAGUUUUUCCAGGAGUGAAGUUAAAUCCUUCAGGAAUGGAUCAGUCGUUGUUGACUUGAAUCUGAUCUUCAAAAACAUAUCAGUUGUUCCCAGUGAAACAACUGCAAAGCAGGCAUUGAUGGACUCAUUAUCCACGGGCAUCGUCAACCUUAACGUGGACGGAUCCACUAUCUUGACAGAUAAUAAAGACACUACAACCACAACUGCAACAAAUGGACCACCGACUACUACUGCAGGAGUAACCGCUAGUUCAGCAGGACCAGCUAUAACAACUGCAGCACCAACAACAACUGCAGCAGGACCUAAUACUUCUUCUGUAGGACCCACAUCAACAACUGCAGGACAGACAGAGAGUGAAAGACCAUCAACAAUGACGACAAAACCCACAACAACAACAGAAGGACCAACAACAACUGUAGCACAUAAAACAGCAACUGCAGUUCGCAUAACUACUACUGCAGGAACCACACGUACUAAAGCAGGACACACAACAUAUUCCACAAAAAAAACUGAAGGACCAACAACUGCAGAAACAUCAUCAACUGCAGGACAAUCUACUAUUACUGCAAGACCCUCCACAAUACCUUCAGGAAAAACAACCUCAACGACAGGACGUACCAAGGCAUCUGCAGGACCAGAAAGAACAUCUGCAGGAUCAACAAUUGCAGCAACAGCAGCACUGACUGGGGGACCAACAACGACAACCGCUGAAUCACAAUCAGCAGCUAAUGGACAAACAACGACAACUGCUGAACAAAAAUCAAAAGCUAAUGGACAAACAACGACAACUGCUGAACAAAAAUCAAAAGCUAAUGGACAAACAAAGACAACUUCUGAACUUACUGCAGGAGCAAAAUCAACCACUGAUGAAUCAACAAAAGCAACAACUGAAGGAAUAAUAAAAACGACUGCAGGACCAACAACAUCAAAUGCAGUACCAACAACUACUAAAGCCGGACCCAAAACAGCAACAGCAGGAUCAACAACUGCAGGACAAACAACAAACACUGCAGGACCAACAACAAAUGCAGCAGGACCUAAUACUUCUUCUUUAGGACCCACAUCAACAACUGCAGGACAGACAGAGAGCGAAAGACCAUCAACAAUGACGACAAAACCCGUAACAACAACAGAAGGACCAACAUCAACUGUAGCACAUAAAACAACAACUGCAGUUCGCAUGACUACUACUGCAGGACCCACACAUACUAAAGCAGGACACACAACAUAUUCCACAAAAAAAUCUGAAGGACCAACAACAACUGCAGAAACAUCAUCAACUGCAAGACAAUCUACUAUUACUGCAAGACCCUCCACAAUACCUUCAGGAAAAACCUCAACGACAGGACGUACCAAGGCAUCUGCAGGACCAGAAAGAACAUCUGCAGGAUCAACAAUUGCAGCAACAGCAGCACUGACUGGGGGACCAACAACGACAACUGUUGAAUCACAAUCAGCAGCUAAUGGACAAACAACGACAACUGCUGAACAAAAAUCAGAAGCUAAUGGACAAACAAAGACUACUUCUGAACUUACUGCAGAACCAAAAUCAACCACUGAUGAACCAACAAAAGAAACAACUGAAGGAAUAAUAAAAAUGACUGCAGGACCAACAACAUCAAAUGCAGUACCAACAACUACUAAAGCCGGACCCAAAACAGCAACAGCAGGAUCAACAACUGCAGGACAAACAACAAACACUGCAGGACCAACCAAAAAUGCAAGAUCAUCAACUACGACAGCAAAACCUGCAAGAACUACUGUGGGACCAACAUCAACAACUGCUGGACCAACACCUACACCAGUAAAACCUGCAACAUCGUCUUCAAGACCAACCACAACAGGAAGACCAAACACACAAACUGCAAGACCUAUCACUUCUACUGCAGUACCCAAAACAACAACUGAAGGGCCAACAACAACAGCCUCAGAACCAACAACUACUACAGUAGGACCAACAACUACAGGACAAGGAACAACAACAACUGGUGGACUAACAAAAGCCACUGCAGGACCAUCAACAACUGGAUCAAAAACAACUGCUGCAUUUCCAACAACUGCUGGUCCCAGAGCAAAAACUGGAGGACAGACAACUGCUCCAGCAGGACCCAUAACAACAACAGCAGAACCAACAAAAACAACUGCAGGACCAACAACAACAACUGCAGGACCUAUAUCCACAACGGGAGGACAAACAACUGCAGGACGAACAACGCCAACUGCAGGACCAAUAACAAUAAAUGCAAGACCAACCACUACUACAGCACGAUUCACAACUACUACAGCAGGACUCACUGCAACUGCAGUUCAAACAACGUUGACUGCAGGACCAACAAGGACAACUUCUGAAACAAAAUCAACAAGUGCUGGACCAACAAAUGAGACAGCAAAACCUGAAACAACCACUGCAGGACAAUUCACUUCUACCGUGGGACCCAGAACAACUGGAGGACUCACCCCAACAAAUGGAGGAACAUUAACCUUUACCGUAAGACCAACAGCGACAACUUCAGGAGCAUCAACUACGGCAGGAAAAACGACGACAACCGCAGGACCAGCAAAAAAGUCUGCAGGGUCUACAAUUGCAGCAACAGCAGCACUUACUGCAGGAAUAACAAAAACAAAUACAGUACGAACAACAUCAACUGCACUACCAACAACUACUAAAGCAGCACCCACAACAACAGCAGGACCAAUAACGACACCUGCUGAACUGACAUCAACAACUGCAGGACCAACAACUACGACAGAAAAACCAGCUAGAACAACUGCGGUACCAACAACUACAACUGCUGAACCAACAUCAACAACUGCAGGACCAACAACUAGGACAGCAGAUGCUGGAAGAACAACUGCGGGAACAGCAUCUACUGUAGCACUAUUAACUUCUGCUGCGGGACCCAAAACAACAAUUGAAGGAACGACAGCAGAACAAACAACUGCAGAACCACCAUUGACUGAUGCUGAACGAACAACUUCAGCAUUAACAAAAAAAUCUGCAGGACCAACAACAUCAGGACGCAGAACAACAACUGCAGAACCAACAAUGACAACUGCUGCUCACAGAGCAAUAACUGCAGGACCACCACCCACUGCAAAACAAGCAACAACAAAUGCAGAGCUAUUGACUACUGCAGAAGGACCAACAACGACAACUACUGAACCGACAUCCACAACUGUAGGACCAACAACUACUGCAGCAAAACCUGCACCACCUGCUGGACCAACACCUACGCCAGCAAAACCUGCAACAUCGUCUUCAGGACCAACAACAACAGGAAGAACCAACACACAAACUGCAAGAACCAUCACUUCCACUGCAGCACCCAAAACAACAACUGAAGGACCAACAACAACAGCCUCAGAACCAACAACUACUACAGCAGGACCAACAACAGCUGGUGGACUAACAAAAAACAUUGCAGGAACAUCAACAACUGGACCAAAAACAACAACUGCCGCACUUCCAACAACUGCUGGUCCCAGAGCAAAAACUGCAGGCCGGACAACUGCUCCAGCAGGACCCAUAACAACAACAACAACUGCAGGACCUGCAUCAACAACUGGAGGACAAACAACUGCAAGACAAACAACGACAACUUCAGGACGAACAACGCCAACUGCAGGACGAAUAACAAUAAAUGCAAGACCCACAACUACUACAGCUCGAUCCACAACUACGACAGUAGGACUCACUGCAACUGCAGUUCAAACAACGUUGACUGCAGGACUAACAAGGACAACUUCUGAAACAAAAUCACCAAGUGCUGGACCAACAAAUGAGACAGCAAAACCUGAAACAACCACUGCAGGACAAUUCCCUUCUACCGCAGGACCCAGAACAACUGGAGGACUCACCCAAACAAAUGCAGGAACAUUAACCUUUACCGUAAGACCCACAGCGACAACUUCAGGAACAUCAACUACGGCAGGAAAAACGACGACAACUGCAGGACCAGCAACAAAGUCUGCAGGAUCUACAAAAGCAGCUACAAAAGCAACACCCACAACAACAGCAGGACCAAUAGCGACACCUGCUGAACUGACAUCAACAACUGCAGGACCAACAACUAAGACAGAAAAACCUGCUAGAACAACUGCGGUACCAACAACUACAACUGCUGAACCAACAACUAGGACAGCAGAUGCUGGAAGAACAACUGCGGGAACAGCAUCUACUGCAGCACUAUUAACUUCUGCUGCGGGACCAAAAGCAACAAUUGCAGGAACGACAGCAGAACAUACAACUGCAGAACCAACAUUGACCACUGCUGAACUAACAACUUCAGCAUUAACAAAAAAAUCUGCAGGACCAACAACAUCAGGACGCAGAACAACAACUGCAGAACCAACAAUGACAACUGCUGCUCACAGAGCAAUAACUCCAGGACCACCAACCACUGCAAAACAAGCAGUAACAACUGCAGAGCUAUCAACUACGGCAGAAGUACCAACGACAACUACUGAACCAAUGUCCACAACUGUAGGACCAACAACUACUGCAAGUAAAGCUGCAACAGCAACUGCAGAAACAUCAACUGCAGGAAAAUCUACUAUUAAUGCAAGACCCUCAUCAACAACUUCAGGAAAAACAACAACGGCAGGACAAACCAGGGCAACUGCAGGACCAGCCACAAUAUCUGCAGGAUCAACAAUUGCAGCCACAGCAGCACUGACUGAGGGGCCAACAACAACGACUGCUGAACCAAAAUCAGAAGCUAAUGGACAAACAAUGACAACUUCUGAACUUAGUGCCGGGCCAAAAUCAACCACUGCUGAACCAAAAAAAACAAAGACUGAAGGACUAACAAAAACGACUUCCCGACCAACUACAUCAAAUGCAGUGUCAACAACUACUAAAGCCCAACCCAAAACAGCAACAGCAGGAUCAACAACUGCUGGAAGAACAACAAAAACUGCAGGACCAAUAACAAAUGCGAGAUCGACAACUAUAACGGCAAAACCUGCCAGAACUACUGCGGGACCAAAAUCGGCAACUGCUGAACCAACAUCAACAACUGCAGGACCGACAAUUACAACAGCAAAACCUGCAACGACUGCAGUACUAAUAACUUCUAACGUUGGAUCAACAAUGACCGCAGAACCCACAACAUCAACUGCAGCACCAAAGACAACAAUUGCAGUACCCACAACUACUUCUGCAGGAUCCAUAACUACUAAAACAGGACAACCAACAAAAAAUUCAGGACCAACGACUGCUCCUGCAGGACCAACUGAAACAGCAGGACCAACAACAACAACUGCAGGACCUAGAAUUAGCAAGGCAAAACCUUCAAGAACUGCAAGACCAACAUCCACAGCAAAACAAGUAACGACAACUGCAAAGCUAUCCACUACUGCAGAAGGACCGACAACAAAAACUGAAGGACAAACAAAAACAGGUAAAGGACCACAAAUAACAAGAGCUGAACCCACGGGACCAACAACAACUGCAGGAACAACAACUGCAGCAGUAUUAACUUCUACAACUGGUUCCACUACCACUGUAGGACCCACAACAAAAACUGCAGCACCAAAAACAACUACUGCAGUAACCACAACUACUUCUGCAACAACUGCUGGAACAACAAUAACUGCAGUAACAUCAUCAGGACCAUUUACUUUUACUGAAAGACCACCAACAUCAACGAAAAUCUCUACACAAACAACACUGACGGCAACAACAACAAAUGCAGGACCAAAAACAACAUCUACAGGAUUGACAACUGCAGGACCAGUAUCGAAAGCAGCUGAACCAACAACGGCAUCUAAAGGACAAACAACAACGACAACAGAACAAGCAGCUGCAGGACCAACAUCGACGACAUCUGCAGGACUAAAGAAAACAUCUGACAAACAAAAAAGAGCAACUAUAGGAACCAAAAUGACAACUGCAGGAUCAACAAUUGCAGUUACAACUACUACUAAAGCUGAACUCCCAUCAACAACAGAAGAGUCAACAAUAACAGGACCCACAAAACCAACUGCAGGCCCAUCGUCAACAAGAACUGCACUACCAAAAUCAACCACAACUGCAGGAACCACAACAACAACAGCGAAAGGACCAACAACUACGACAAUAGGACAUACUACUGCCGGACCCACAUUGAACACUUCUCAACCCAAAACAAAAACUUCUGGACCAACAAAAAAAUCUGCGGGACCAACGAUAACUAAUGAACCAAAAACAACAACUACAGGAACCACAACAAAAACUACAGGACCCACAACAAAAAGUACAGGAUCCACAUCAAAAACUGCAGUACCAGCAACUAACACAUCAGGAAUCUCAACAUCAGCAGGAUCAUCAUCUGCCGGACCAACAAUGACAACUGUAGAACUCAAACCAACAACUUCAGGAACAAUAACUAAACCUGCUGAACCCACAACUACUAAAGCAGGACCCACUUCAACAACUGCAAGACCAACAAGGACAACUGCUGAACCAACAACGACUGCUGCACCAAAAGCAACAAAUUCAGGACCUAUAGCAACUUAUGAAAUAAUAACAACUGCUGAACUAGCAACAACUCCUGGACCCAGAGCAACGACCACAGAACCAAAACUAACAACUGAGGGACCAUUACCGACUAACACAACACCAAUGAAAAAAACUGCAAAACCAACAACCACUGCAGGACCAAUAACAACAAAUAGAGGAUCCACAAAUCCUGCUUUAGGACCCUUAACUACCACAACUGGCCCAACAACAAAUACAUUAGGACCCACAGCAGUGACUGCAGGACCCACUACAACUUCAGAAGAAGGGAAUUUGGAGAUAACUUUUAGUUUAAGCGAAAUAUUUAUUGAACAAUACUCAGACCCUACUUCCACAAGCUUUCAGGUCCUCUCUAAUAAUGUUACAACAGAGGUGAGAUAAUCACAGUCCUUUGAUGUUGUACUUAAAUCAAUAAUUUGCAAUUUUCAGUCAUUAUUGCCUGAAUUAUAGUAUUAACCACAAUAUUACAUUUUUCACAUUAGGUAGACAAAGCCUUCAAAGCCCAUGUUCAAGAUAGCUUUGCCAGGAGUGAGGUAACAUCCUUCAGGUACUUCUUUAAUAUUUAUUAAAGUAUUUUUAUUAUUGUAAAU
Long non-coding RNA from Gadus morhua (Atlantic cod), 8146 nucleotides. NCBI's taxonomy places the organism in Eukaryota, Metazoa, Chordata, Actinopteri, Gadiformes, Gadidae. The record is from Ensembl.